This is a long non-coding RNA of Xenopus laevis (African clawed frog), 536 nucleotides long. RefSeq lists it as uncharacterized. The record is from RefSeq and is a predicted model, not a curated record. NCBI's taxonomy places the organism in Eukaryota, Metazoa, Chordata, Amphibia, Anura, Pipidae. The transcript is spliced from 4 exons.
ACACCAUCCAUGCUGCUGAAAAGACACAGUUCUGCAUCUCCCUUAUGAUAGAAUUGCGGGUGUUUCUGUACCACCUCCACCUGGAAGAAAUACUUACCUAGUGGAUCCCUCGGUUCGCCUCCGUCCAGCAGUCCUGACAUCACGGGCGUCGGGUCACAUGUGCGCGUCAGCGUGCAUCCAGGCGCAGGCUCAUUGCGGCGCAGAUCGUGACGACGCUGGCUCCUCAUCGCAGGCGUUCUGAUGCUGCAGAAUUGGCGCCAAGAUUAAAGACCAACGUAUUGAGCUGCAAACAAGAGAAAGACAAGGGAACAAGGAGCAGCAACUGGAGCCUGAGGACCAUUUAAGUAAAGCACAAGAGGACGAGGAUCAGAAUAAUCAGAAACAGCGGCUUCAGCACCAGCGACACCUGGAAACUGUCAGAAUAACACAGGGGUUACAUGUGCAGCCCCCCAGUACUAUACAAAGACCACGAGCACACUCAGGCCCUUCGUAGGAUUACGCUGGUCCCCAAGACCUGAGGGAGACGGCACUCCCAA